RNAcentral lists this ribosomal RNA (483 nucleotides) under uncultured bacterium. RNAcentral describes it as "partial 16S ribosomal RNA". It matches the Rfam family "Bacterial small subunit ribosomal RNA", at positions 29 to 506 of the family's 1533-position model. The record is from RNAcentral.
AUUGAACGCUGGCGGCAGGCCUAACACAUGCAAGUCGAGCGGAUGAAGGGAGCUUGCUCCUGGAUUCAGCGGCGGACGGGUGAGUAAUGCCUAGGAAUCUGCCUGGUAGUGGGGGAUAACGUCCGGAAACGGGCGCUAAUACCGCAUACGUCCUGAGGGAGAAAGUGGGGGAUCUUCGGACCUCACGCUAUCAGAUGAGCCUAGGUCGGAUUAGCUAGUUGGUGGGGUAAAGGCCUACCAAGGCGACGAUCCGUAACUGGUCUGAGAGGAUGAUCAGUCACCGGGGAAGUGAGACACGGUCCAGACUCCUACGGGAGGCAGCAGGGGGGAAUAUGGGAGAGGGGGCGAAAGAGUGAACCAGCCAUGGCGGGUGUGUGAAGAAGGUCCUCGGAUUGGAAAGCACUUUGAGUUGGGAGGAGGGGAAGUAAUUAAAGCCGUUGGUGUUUUGACGUAACCAACAGAAAAACCACCGCUUAAUUUGGU